GACGAACGCUGGCGGCGUGCUUAACACAUGCAAGUCGAACGAUGAAGCCUUUCGGGGUGGAUUAGUGGCGAACGGGUGAGUAACACGUGGGCAAUCUGCCCUGUACUUUGGGAUAAGCCUUGGAAACGAGGUCUAAUACCGGAUAUGACUGGCCUUCGCAUGGGGUUGGGUUGUAAAGUUACUGGCGGUACAGGAUGAGCCCGCGGCCUAUCAGCUUGUUGGUGGGGUAAGU
RNAcentral lists this ribosomal RNA (232 nucleotides) under uncultured bacterium. Its description in RNAcentral is "partial 16S ribosomal RNA". It matches the Rfam family "Bacterial small subunit ribosomal RNA", at positions 28 to 262 of the family's 1533-position model. The record is from RNAcentral.